Molecule: long non-coding RNA, 534 nt
Organism: Haliotis rubra (blacklip abalone)
Lineage: Eukaryota; Metazoa; Mollusca; Gastropoda; Lepetellida; Haliotidae
Exons: 3
Source: RefSeq, a predicted model, not a curated record
CUUCAAAUGAACAAGGUAGAUUCUAAUGACAAUCAUCAUAACCAAAUAAUAAUAAAAAGAUUCCUUUGCCACACGUUUCAACCAAAAGCAUACAUUAUUUUGGUAACUGUCUGUACAACAACACCAACACAGUAUCACUGACCAAUCAUUAAAAGCUAGUAAAAUAUCUUUCAAAAACCUUUGAUCAGAAGACAUUUGUUUAAAAUUCAUCUUAUAUCAUUCUUGUUUCUCAUGGUAAAGAACACCUUGUUUCCUAGCAAAACCAUGUUUGUUUGAGAUCAAAAUUGGAACUUAGGACCCUGGGUAGUAUUUUAUCACAUUUUUUUCAAUAUAGUACCUUGGUACUGUAGCUCACCUUUGUGGGAUGAUAUAAUGAGAGAAGACCCAGCUGGAGGAUGCAAGAUGCUGCUUCAAAAGAAUCAAAAUAACUGAAUCAAACCAAUUUACAAUUUCAAAAACAACAAUAAUAAAGUUGUAGCCAUUAGAAACUGAUUCUUUACAAAGUACUACAACAGUACACAGAGAUUUUUUCUG